This is a non-coding RNA of Triticum aestivum (bread wheat), 181 nucleotides long. The record is from Rfam. Lineage: Eukaryota; Viridiplantae; Streptophyta; Magnoliopsida; Poales; Poaceae.
AAAGUACUCCCUCCAUCCCAAAAUUCUUGUCUUAGAUUUGUCUAGAUACGGAUGUAUCAAGUCACAUUUUAGUAUUAGAUACAUCCGUAUCUAGACAAUGUAUCAAGUCACAUUUUAGUAUUAGAUACAUCCGUAUCUAGACAAAUCUAAGACAAGAAAUUUGGGACAAAGGGAGUAGUUG